GACAGAGGAUGCAAGCGUUAUCCGGAAUGAUUGGGCGUAAAGCGUCUGUAGGUGGCUUUUCAAGUCCGCCGUCAAAUCCCAGGGCUCAACCCUGGACAGGCGGUGGAAACUACCAAGCUGGAGUACGGUAGGGGCAGAGGGAAUUUCCGGUGGAGCGGUGAAAUGCGUAGAGAUCGGGAGGAACAUCAGUUGCGAAGGCGGCUCUCUGGACCAGCACUGACACUGAGGCACGAAAGCGUGGGGAGCAAACAGG
This 253-nucleotide ribosomal RNA is filed under the name uncultured bacterium. RNAcentral's name for it is "partial 16S ribosomal RNA". It matches the Rfam family "Bacterial small subunit ribosomal RNA", at positions 524 to 776 of the family's 1533-position model. The record is from RNAcentral.